Molecule: ribosomal RNA, 482 nt
Filed under: uncultured bacterium
Lineage: Bacteria
Description: bacterial SSU rRNA
Rfam family: Bacterial small subunit ribosomal RNA
Source: RNAcentral
AUUGAACGCUGCGGCAUGCCUUACACAUGCAAGUCGAACGGCAGGCACGGGAGCAAUCCUGGUGGCGAGUGGCGAACGGGUGAGUAAUAUAUCGGAACAUGCCCAGUCUGGGGGAUAACGUAGCGAAAGCUACGCUAAUACCGCAUACGAUCUAUGGAUGAAAGCGGGGGAUCGCAAGACCUCGCGCGAUUGGAGCGGCCGAUAUCAGAUUAGGUAGUUGGUGAGGUAAAGGCUCACCAAGCCGACGAUCUGUAGCUGGUCUGAGAGGACGACCAGCCACACUGGGACUGAGACACGGCCCAGACUCCUACGGGAGGCAGCAGUGGGGAAUUUUGGACAAUGGGCGCAAGCCUGAUCCAGCAAUGCCGCGUGCAGGAUGAAGGCCUUCGGGUUGUAAACUGCUUUGUACGGAACGAAACGGUGAGCUCUAAUACAGUUUGCUAAUGACGGUACCGUAAGAAUAAGCACCGGCUAACUACGUG